AGAACGAACGCUGGCGGCAGGCUUAACACAUGCAAGUCGAGCGCCCCGCAAGGGGAGCGGCAGACGGGUGAGUAACGCGUGGGAACAUACCCUCCGGUUCGGAAUAGCUCAGGGAAACUUGGAUUAAUACCGGAUACGGCCUAGCGGCGAAAGAUUCAUCGCCGGAGGAUUGGCCCGCGUUCGAUUAGCUAGUUGGUGAGGUAACGGCUCACCAAGGCGACGAUCGAUAGCUGGUCUGAGAGGAUGAUCAGCCACAUUGGGACUGAGACACGGCCCAAACUCCUACGGGAGGCAGCAGUGGGGAAUAUUGGACAAUGGGCGCGAAGCCUGAUCCAGCCAUGCCGCGUGAGUGAUGACGGCCUUAGGGUUGUAAAGCUCUUUCGCUAGGGACGAUAAUGACGGUACCUAGACAAGAAGCCCCGGCUAACUUCGUGCCAGCAGCCG
RNAcentral lists this ribosomal RNA (444 nucleotides) under uncultured bacterium. Its description in RNAcentral is "SSU rRNA". It matches the Rfam family "Bacterial small subunit ribosomal RNA", at positions 26 to 517 of the family's 1533-position model. The record is from RNAcentral.